This 497-nucleotide ribosomal RNA is filed under the name uncultured bacterium. Its description in RNAcentral is "partial 16S ribosomal RNA". It matches the Rfam family "Bacterial small subunit ribosomal RNA", at positions 28 to 507 of the family's 1533-position model. The record is from RNAcentral.
GAUGAACGCUGGCGGCGUGCCUAAUACAUGCAAGUCGAGCGAACGGACGAGAAGCUUGCUUCUCUGAUGUUAGCGGCGGACGGGUGAGUAACACGUGGAUAACCUACCUAUAAGACUGGGAUAACUUCGGGAAACCGGAGCUAAUACCGGAUAAUAUUUUGAACCGCAUGGUUCAAAAGUGAAAGACGGUCUUGCUGUCACUUAUAGAUGUAUCCGCGCUGCAUUAGCUAGUUGGUAAGGUAACGGCUUACCAAGGCAACGAUGCAUAGCCGACCUGAGAGGGUGAUCGGCCACACUGGAACUGAGACACGGUCCAGACUCCUACGGGAGGCAGCAGUAGGGAAUCUUCCGCAAUGGGCGAAAGCCUGACGGAGCAACGCCGCGUGAGUGAUGAAGUUCUUCGGAUCGUAAAACUCUGUUAUUAGGGAAGAACAUAUGUGUAAGUAACUGUGCACAUCUUGACGGUACCUAAUCAGAAAGCCACGGCUAACUACGUG